AUACGGAGGGUGCAAGCGUUAUUCGGAAUCACUGGGCGUAAAGGGUGCGUAGGCGGUUUGAUAAGUCUGAUGUGAAAUCCUAUGGCUCAACCAUAGAACUGCAUUGGAAACUGUCAGACUAGAAUACUGUAGGGGCAGAUGGAAUUAGUGGUGUAGGGGUAAAAUCCGUAGAUAUCACUAGGAAUACCGAAAGCGAAAGCGAUCUGCUGGGAAGUUAUUGACGCUGAGGCACGAAAGCGUGGGGAGCAAACGGGAUUAGAAACCCCAGUAGUCC
Molecule: ribosomal RNA, 274 nt
Filed under: uncultured bacterium
Lineage: Bacteria
Description: partial 16S ribosomal RNA
Rfam family: Bacterial small subunit ribosomal RNA
Source: RNAcentral